Molecule: long non-coding RNA, 2882 nt
Organism: Brassica rapa (field mustard)
Lineage: Eukaryota; Viridiplantae; Streptophyta; Magnoliopsida; Brassicales; Brassicaceae
Source: RefSeq, a predicted model, not a curated record
AACCCCUCUGAAAAUUUCAUCACAUCAACGCAAUAUCAGGUCAAAUCAAAAGGCGUAGUGUAGUAAAUAAUUUGAUACGUACAGGAAUCUCAGAUUCUUGAAAUUUUGUAAACCAGAUGGUAAAGGCCCAGACAAACGAUUCGCGCAGAGCGAGCUGCGUGAACAUUCAAAGUUAACUCGCAAAACAUGAAUAUAAAUUUAUCCCAAAAAACUAUCAAGCCUAAAUUGGUUCACCCAAGUUAGAGAGAGAGAGAGCUGACAUAUAAGUAAGGUUUCGCAGUGAAGCCCACUCCAUUGGGAUUGAACCCGAAAGGUAAUUUCUACACAAGUCUCUGCAAAAAAAGAAGCAGAAACUUGCUAUAAAUUUUCUGGAUAUUCUCAAGCUUUAGGUUUUGUUUAAGGAUGCAACUAAUGGAUUUUUUUAUGUUGACAAUCUUUUAUUUAAUGAAAAUUAUAAUAUUAUACUAAAUAAUUAGGAGUGUCAAAAUGAGUUAUAUCUUAUGACGUGACUCAGGUGACUCAACUCGAUUUUUUAUGAGCAUGAUCUCUGUUUUUUUACUCGUUUAAUAAAUAAGCUUAAUGAUCGAGAUUAAAUUAAAUCACGAGAACGAGUUAUAUGAUCGAUCUUUAAUGAUCAUAAGCUAACUCAUGAGCUUGAUCGCUUUUAUAUUAAUAUAUAUACACAUAUAUAUGUAGAUGACUUCCAUAUUUAAUUAAAAUAUUUUACAUGUAUAUUAACUUAAAUGACAUUAUGCUAUGCAUAUAUGCAUAAUUUUAAUUUAAUAUUUAUAAUCAAAUAACUAUUAAUUAAAAUAAUUAGAUUUCGACCCGCACAACCGUGCGGGUGUUUAUUUUCAUUAUAUAUACAUAAAUAUUUUUUUACAUCAAUUAUGGUAUAUAUAUUUAUUUAACAAAUUAAUAUAUGCAUUACAAAACAUAUUAAAUAUUAUUUUUGUAUUAAAUUUAUAUUCAGUUUUGAUCCACUGACCUUUUUAUAUUUAUAUUUAAAAUAAAAAGAUAUCAUGCAUAAAUGAUUUGUAUUAUUAACUUUGAUGAAAUACAUGUUAAUUUAUAUACGUGUAUUAUAUAGUUUUCCAAUAUUAACACGUGUUACCUACAUAUUACAUUUCGAAUAUAAAUACUUACAAAAAAUAAAAUAUAUAAAUUUACCAAUUUAAUAUAAUUUAAUCAUAUUUAGCACAAUAUAAUAAUUAAUAAUUUCUCUUAGAAUGAUUGAUUAUGGUUAUAUAAUUGAUAAAAUGAUAAAAAAUUUAUUUUAAUAUUAUAAAAUAUUUAAAUGUAUAAUAUUAUUUCAUAACUAAUUUCGAAAUUAAUGAAAAUAUUUACAUAUAAUUUUUGAAAAUUAAGAUCUUGUUAAAAUCUUUUAAACAGACUUGUUAAAAUUUUUAAAAUAUAUAUUUAUAUUUAAAAUAAAAAGAUAUCAAAAGAUAUUGUGAUUAACGUAGUUUAAAGAUUCUAUAUAUUAUUAGUCUUAAUAAAAUAUAUUUAAUAAAAAAAUUAAAGGAUGGUCCAAAUUAUAAAACAAUACAUGGAAGAAUUCAUUACUUAUAUUUUAAUAGAUAAUAUAGACCAUAAUUAGAAAUUUUAAGAAAAUAGUAUACAAUUUUUUUUUAUAAUAAAAUCUUAACUAACAUUAAUUUAUAAUAAUAUUAGAGUACUAAUCACGAAAUUAAUCAAUGAUUCGUUUUAUAGUAAUAUUUAAAAUAUCUAAUAAGAUUUUGUAGAUUUUUUUCUCAACAUAUUUUUAUAAUUAAAAAAUAAGAAAAUUUUAUAGGUGAGUUGUUAUAUAUGUCAAUUAUUUAAGAUGUCUUAAUAAUGUCAUAAUGUUAAUUAGAAUUAAAUGAAAUAUAAUUUUUUACAGAAGGUCCAUUUUAAAAAAAUCACACAUGAAAAGAAGUUGGACUUCUGUUUUAAUAUAAUAGAUAGAUAAUCUCUAACUUACUCAUACUGUUCAAGUAAAUCUAUUUUUUAUGUUGACUGACCUAGUUAGUAACAAACUUAGUCAAACUAUAAUAUAAAUUCUUAACUUUUUAGUCAAAUUCUUCACAAGAUUGGAUAUAUACAAGUACACAAUAAACUGGAAUUUGUUAACUAGAACGAGUAGUUUGAGAUUUUUUUUACCUUUUGAUAUAUAUAUAUACACAAUAUAAAACGAUCAAAAAUUCUGGUUGUAGAAACUCUAUAAAUAAUUGUUUGAUAAAAUACGAAUAUAAUAAAUCAAUUAAUUUUAUCGGUUUUGAGUUAGACCGGUUCAAAAUAUGAUAUAGUUUGAUAAAAUAAUAAGUUUAUAAAUUUUACAAAAUGUUAUAUAAAUAUGCAAUCCUUUUAAAAUAAAAAAUUACUAUUUAGUACAUAUAAAUUUUAUUUAAAUAUGAAAAAUACAUUGUAUCAUUUUUAUCUUCAGAAGAAAAUUCAUCCAUAAUCUUAUUAACACUACAAAAUAUUUUGAUAUCAUUUAGCAAUUACAGCUAAAACUAAUUCAUAGUCAUUGGUAUACAUCAAACACCAAGCAUAUUAAAGUCAGAUUUAUAAAUUUUAAUUAAUAUUCUUUUAAUAUUAUUUUAAUAUAAAAAUAUUUCAAACUAUUUGACUCUGAAAAAUAAAAUAAAAAUUAAUAAAAUAUCAGAGUUUCAACUUUACGAUUUUUUAGAGUUUGCUUGUAUACUAUUCUUUAUAUUUUUAAAGAUUAAUAUUACAAAAUAUGUUUAAGGAAGAUAAAUUUUCAAACUUUCAUGUAAUUUAUUAGUUAGCAAUUUUAAAUUUCAAAUUUCAAAAAUUAAUUAAACUUAUUUAAUUAACGUAUUGAAAAUAUUUAAUGAAAUAAUAUAUUUAUAAUCAAAAUUUAAUAUAUUUUAAUAUUU